RNAcentral lists this long non-coding RNA (472 nucleotides) under Elaeis guineensis (African oil palm). RNAcentral describes it as "long non-coding RNA (EGUI_LNC013695)". Lineage: Eukaryota; Viridiplantae; Streptophyta; Magnoliopsida; Arecales; Arecaceae. The record is from RNAcentral.
GGCCUAAAUUCCAUUCAUUGUUAUCUAGACUUGAAGGAGGGUUUAUGUAAAAUUUGAUAUUUUCUGGAUCUAAGCCCGGCUCAUGAUCAAAUCUAUUCAUCCACCUGCAUGAAUCUCAAAGCUACCAUUUCGUGAUCCCAUUGGUGGAUUCGCGCGAUGAAAGCUGAGUCCUCGGUGCAGAAGGUGCAACCCCACUCCAGUGCGAAGGCUGCUAACGCGACCUUCGAUAGAACAGGUCCAGUAGCUUAGCCCAUAUAGUUGAGAUUACGCCCGCAUGCCACCUCGCUUCUCUCCUGUCCGAGGACCGAUCUGGAAUUAACUUUUUUCGACUGAUCCGCCCAAAUGGCCGAUCAACCCUCUCGGCCCGAAUCAACGACUCCACGUGUCGACCAGCCGACGAGCUUGAAACGGCCAGCCUUUUUCCGGUUCUGCAGCCGUUAUUUUAGCUUUGCACCAACCAACUUUAACCACC